UUCGGAUUGGUCUAUCAUAUUGAAGUCGUCUGUCUAUUUGAGUUCGUCAGUCUGUGUUGGUAAUCCUGUCGAACACUGCUUUUUAAAAAAUGUUUUGUAUUGUGGAGCUGCAUAAGUGUUUCUCUCCGUUUUCUGGAGGAUCAAGAUUUGAAAUCAGUGUAAUUAGAGUAUGAUAGCUAAAGAGAUGGAGAAAACACCUGACUCUGGAUAACAUCUUCAAACCGUGCAACCGUGAAUUUCUUGGAUUUGUUGCCUGUUAAUUGGAGGGAUAACCUGUUAUCCUCCACCUAAAGGUAACUAUAGAUAUAUUCCCCCAAAUAAAUUAAAAGGAACCACGACUGGCCCAAAUACUUUAGGUGGAGCAACUGGAUCCCGUACCUCAGCAGCAGAAGCAGCCACCCACAAUGCCUCAGCAAGUGCCACGACUGGCCCAAAUACUUUAGGUGAAGCAACUGGAUCCCGUACCGCAGAAGCAGCCACCCACAAUGCCUCAGCAAGCGCCACGACUGGCCCAAAUACUUUAGGUGAAUCACCUGGCCACAAUGCUUCAUCAGGUGUCACGGGCGUGCCCAAAUACCAUGGGUGAAGCAUCUGACUCCCGUGCCUCAGCAGCAGCAGCAACCCGAAAUGCCUCAGCAAGCGUCACAGCUGGGCCAAAUACCUUAGGUGAAGCAACUGGCCACGGUUUCUCGGAAACAACUGGCCACAGUGCCUCGGCAGCGGAAGCUACUGGCCACAGUGCCUCGCAAGCGGCCCCCCGUAAUGCAGCGGAAGCGGCCACCCAUAAUGCCUCGGCAAGUGUGCUAACCGGCCCAAAUACCUUAGGUGAAGCAACUGGCCACAAUGCUUCAUCAGGCGUCACGGCUGGCCCAAAUACCUUGGGUGAAGCAUCCGACUCUCGUGCCUCAACAGCAACCCGAAAUGCCUCAGCAAGCGUCACGGCUGGGCCAAAUACCUUAGGUGAAGCAACUGGCCACGGUUCCUCGGCAGCAGAAGCAACUGGCCACAGUGCCACCCACAAUGCCUCGGCAAGUGUGGCAACUGGCCCAAAUACCUUAGGUGAAGCACCUGGCCACAAUGCUUCAUCAGGUGUCACGGCUGGCCCAAAUACCUUGGGUGAAGCAACUGGCCACGGAGCCUCGGCAGCAGAAGCAACUGGCCACAGUGCCACCCACAAUGCCUCGGAAAGCGUGGCAACUGGCCCAAAUACCUUAGGUGAAGCACCUGGCCACAAUGCUUCAUCAGGUGUCACGGCUGGCCCAAAUACCUUGGGUGAAGCAUCCGACUCCCGUGCCUCAGCAGAAGCAGCCACCCACAAUGCCUCAGCAAGCGUCACGGCUGGCCCAAAUACCUUAUGUGAAGCAACCGGCCACUUUGCCUCGGCAGUGGAAGCAACCGGCCACAGUGCCUCAUCAAGUGCGGAAUCUGGUUCAAAUGCCUCGGCAGAAGCGACAGGCGCCCUUGCCUCGGCAAAAGCGACAGGCGCCCUUGCCUCGGCAGAAGCGACAGGCGCCCUUGCCUCGGCAGAAGCGACAGGCGCCCUUGCCUCGGCAGAAGCGACAGGCGCCCUUGCCUCGGCAGAAGCGACAGGCGCCCUUGCCUCGGCAGAAGCGACAGGCGCCCUUGCCUCGGCA
This 1634-nucleotide long non-coding RNA is filed under the name Salmo salar (Atlantic salmon). Its description in RNAcentral is "lncRNA (ENSSSAG00000117263.1)". The record is from RNAcentral. Lineage: Eukaryota; Metazoa; Chordata; Actinopteri; Salmoniformes; Salmonidae.